CCAACCAAAAUAAUCUCGAUAAAUCAUCUCUUCUUAGUUGAAAAAUGACGAAUCCAUCUCAUUAAAUUCCGCUUAUACAAACAACUAAGAACUUCUCAUCAUUUUGGCUUUGGAGUUGGAGGUGUAGAAGAAAAGGGAUCAUUAUCAAACCAUGGCUGCCCAUUUGCAUCUGCAAUAUCCUCUGCAGUAUUAUUCGGAUCUGAUAUAAACUCCCUUGUUGCAUUUUCAUAGCCCUCCGGCUCUCGAGCAGUAUCAUAACCCUCUGCUGCCUCAUUUUCAAUAUUCAAAAUGCCCAACCUUUCAAAAACCCCUCCUCCACAAGAUCUUGGAGACCAUUGAUGGGAUUCAGUUUGCUGUUUGUCGAGUUUUGGUUGUUCUUUCUGCUUGAUUGUGUCAUCACUGGCAUUGUCCUCUGAGGAGGUAUCAACCCUUCUUUUCUUUCCACUUUCUUCAUCUUCAUGG
RNAcentral lists this long non-coding RNA (462 nucleotides) under Aquilegia coerulea. Its description in RNAcentral is "long non-coding RNA (ACOE_LNC000938)". The record is from RNAcentral. Lineage: Eukaryota; Viridiplantae; Streptophyta; Magnoliopsida; Ranunculales; Ranunculaceae.